Small nuclear RNA from Lemur catta (Ring-tailed lemur), 141 nucleotides. RefSeq annotates it as U4 spliceosomal RNA. The transcript has a single exon. The record is from RefSeq and is a predicted model, not a curated record. Lineage: Eukaryota; Metazoa; Chordata; Mammalia; Primates; Lemuridae.
AGUUUUGCACAGUGGCAGUGUCGUAGCCAAUGAGAUUUAUCCAAGGUGCAACUGUUGCUAAUUGAAAAAUUUCCCUAUAACACCAGCCAUCAAGUGUCAUGGACAGUGAGGGCUUUGGGAGUUUGGAGGCCGGAGAGCUGC